ACCGUCCGCCCACCCAUCCUCGCACGCCACCCUAACCGGUUGGGAUAGGUGGUUAGAGAGCAGGCGGAGCUCGGGCCGUAGGGAGGAAGGGACGCGCGAGCCGGCCGAGGCCGUCGUCGGCGGGGGAGAGAAGAAGUGGAGGCCGCCGAUCGCGCCACAUCCCUCGCAGCUCGCGGUGGCGCGUAUACCGUCGCCGCUGUCAGUCCUACGACCGGGAGCCGGUCCUUGCGCCGCCCGUACCGGCGAGGAGAGGAGGGCUAAGCGGAGGAGAAGAAGCACGCGCCGCUUGCGCCGUCGGUACCGGCGAGGAGAGGAGGGCUAAGCGGAGGAGAAGAAGCACGCGCCGCCGGCGACGUCGAGGAGCACGACGGGAGGUAGGUAGGGCGGGGAGAACAAAAGGAGGAGAGAGUCUAGCCCGCGGCAGGGAGCGGCACCAAGGUCUAGCCCCGCCUCCAGCGGCGGUAACUCCUCGUCCCCUCCCGCUCCGGACCUCGAGGUGGCCGUCGCGCGCGAUGUAACCAGUAGAAGAGGAUGGGUGCAUUUGUCGCUCGUCUCCGCAUUAGUGCGUCCACGGUCCCUAGUAUGUUAGUUAGGUUAACAAUGGGAACCACACGAAAGACCUACCUGAUUAGACUUCUACGACCGAUCGCACGUAGCGGUAGUAUAUCAGCUCGUUCCAGUUCCCCUUUUAUUUCCGCUAAGUGGUAGACCCCUUUUAUGGUUGAUUAUGUAAAAACAUCAAGGAGACAAUGUCUCCAACGACGACGUUCCACGUCGUCGUCCCCUCUCCUUCCUCCGGACACUAUCCCCCUUUCACGUCCGACCGGGAACAAGUAUCCAAUCGGUAACCUAGACCUAUGAGUACAAUUUUAACGUUCAAAGGUGUACAUCUAAAAUAACAAACUUCCGUUUCAUUUAACGUCGUACUCGUAUUUCUGUUAAAUCGGCCCCCGUGGAUUUGACUCUCCCUCCAAUCGUCGUUUUCUUUCUGGCGAUGAAUCCGAAGGUACAGAGGGAUGAGAAGUCAAAUCUGGAGGCUUCCAGCUUCCGGUACUUUGUGAUUUAUUGGAACGUUGCCUAUGGGACACCAGAUGGUAAUAUUAAUACACACGUAAAACCUAGAUAACCUACAGACUUACAUUACGAUUAGCUUUAAAUGACUACGUUUCUAAACGUCCCUGCAUUAUAUAUAACACUACAAAGUGAUGCUAGAAGUUCACAAAGUCAAGCAUAAAUCGUCCUAGUGUACAACUGGUUACUGAGAAACAAAAGAGUGACUAGGUCAUAUGAGUUCUUGAACUUAUAACACAAACGACACUCAAUAACUGUCAAUAAAAACGUUGAGUCCUCACUUCUACCGGAAGGAAACCAUCCGCAUCACUUACCUAAAAGAAGAUUAAGUCCGGUACCAACUAUGGCGAGCCGCAGACCUAGACGGUACCUCACCGAUGGUACCCGGUUGGUCUCGACCCACGGGGACAAAGGCUGGAGCUCCGCUAAUCUAAUCUCAGACUAAUUAAUACAUAGUAAGCCAGGAAGGAAACCGAUAAUUAGAUAACACCAGACGAAAAGUUCGAGUAUGUUGUACGAAUAUAACUUAAUUUAAAACAUAUCUAUCGACAUUCUAAGAUCGCUUUGUAGAAGUUCGAAUUCAACGACUUGACUAUAUCGUAGAACUAUGGUAUGUACAUUUGAUUAAAUCCUUUAACAUAACAAGACUCUAUUAAAAAAUAAACUUUUGUAAUGGUUGUAUCCGCACAAUGGAAGUGUGUCCCUUCUUCAAUAAAACACU
This 1792-nucleotide ribosomal RNA is filed under the name Triticum aestivum (bread wheat). Its description in RNAcentral is "partial small subunit ribosomal RNA". Lineage: Eukaryota; Viridiplantae; Streptophyta; Magnoliopsida; Poales; Poaceae. The record is from RNAcentral.